GAUGAACGCUGGCGGCGUGCCUAAUACAUGCAAGUCGAACGCAUUGAGAGAAGUGCUUGCACUUUUCAAUUUGAGUGGCGAACGGGUGAGUAACACGUGGGCAACCUACCUGAUAGCGGGGGAUAACGAGUGGAAACAUUAGCUAAUACCGCAUAACAAUAGAGAAGGCAUCUUCUUUAUUUAAAAGGCGCUUUCAAGCGUCACUAUCAGAUGGGCCCGCGGUGCAUUAGUGAGUUGGUGGGGGGAAGGCCUACCAAGACGAUGAUGCAUAGCCGAGUUGAGAGACUGAUCGGCCACAUUGGGACUGAGACACGGCCCAAACUCCUACGGGAGGCUGCAGUAGGGAAUCUUCCACAAUGGACGAAAGUCCGAUGGAGCAACGCCGCGUGUGUGAUGAAGGCUUUCGGGUCGUAAAGCACUGUUGUAUGGGAAGAGAUGCUAGGCUAGGAAAUGAGCUUAGUUUGACGGUACCAUACCAGAAAGGGACGGCUAAAUACGUGCCAGCCGCCGCAGUAA
This 516-nucleotide ribosomal RNA is filed under the name uncultured bacterium. Its description in RNAcentral is "partial 16S ribosomal RNA". It matches the Rfam family "Bacterial small subunit ribosomal RNA", at positions 28 to 523 of the family's 1533-position model. The record is from RNAcentral.